ACAUAAAAACAGGGGCGCUGAGGGGCAUCCUCGGCUGAGAUCGAAACAAACCGCAGUUUCGGGUCGCCUUGAACCUGAUCCGGGCAAUGCCGGCGUAGGAAGUUUGACCCAACACGUC
This is a non-coding RNA of Subdoligranulum sp. 60_17, 118 nucleotides long. The record is from Rfam. Lineage: Bacteria; Bacillati; Bacillota; Clostridia; Eubacteriales; Oscillospiraceae.